CUUGGUCAUUUAGAGGAAGUAAAAGUCGUAACAAGGUUUCCGUAGGUGAACCUGCGGAAGGAUCAUUAUUGAAAUAAACCUGAUGGGUUGUUGCUGGUUCUCUAGGGAGCAUGUGCACGCCUUGUCAUCUUUAUAUCUCCACCUGUGCACCUUUUGUAGACCUUUCAGGUCUAUGUUGCUUCAUUUACCCCAUGUAUGUUAAUAGAAUGUUGUGCCUAUAUAAUAUAUACAACUUUCAGCAACGGAUCUCUUGGCUCUCGCAUCGAUGAGGAACGCAGCGAAAUGCGAUAAGUAAUGUGAAUUGCAGAAUUCAGUGAACCAUCGAAUCUUUGAACGCAUCUUGCGCUCCUUGGUAUUCCGAGGAGCAUGCCUGUUCGAGUGUCAUCAAAAGUUCUCAACCACACCGGUUCUUCUGGCGUGGCUUGGAUUUGGGGGUUUGCAGGCUUUGAACAGAAGUCGGCUCCCCUGAAAAGGAUUAGCAGUAUCUGAGCGGGAGACUACGUCGGGCGUGAUAAAUCAUCUAUGCCUCGGUGUACCCGAUGUGUGAGACUGCUUCUAACUGAGUGUUGACAAGUUUGACCUCGAAUCAGGUAGGACUACCCGCUGAACUUAAGCAUAUCAAUAAGCGGAGGA
Molecule: ribosomal RNA, 633 nt
Filed under: uncultured Cortinariaceae
Lineage: Eukaryota; Fungi; Basidiomycota; Agaricomycetes; Agaricales; Cortinariaceae
Description: eukaryotic LSU rRNA
Rfam family: 5.8S ribosomal RNA (bases 231-384)
Source: RNAcentral